Long non-coding RNA from Pecten maximus, 461 nucleotides. RefSeq lists it as uncharacterized. The record is from RefSeq and is a predicted model, not a curated record. NCBI's taxonomy places the organism in Eukaryota, Metazoa, Mollusca, Bivalvia, Pectinida, Pectinidae. The transcript is spliced from 4 exons.
CCUGAUUACUCCCGAUGUAUCAUAUAUGAUCAAUGUUUGUUAGACAGAAACGUAUAAAUACGGGGUCACAUCAACAGUGUGUAUAACACGUACCUUGGCAACAGCGAAACGGUUUCUCCUCCCUUACUGCCUUUAGAAGUUAAAGAUGCUGAAAGCAGUAGUCGUGUUGCUAGCCAUUGCCGUGGUUCUCGGCACAGUACAAGCGACUUUAUAUACCGAUGGAUUCCCCACGACAGAUGGCGGCCGAUGGUGGUGGCAUCGCAUGAAAGGCUGGCCACGUCAUCCCAAGAUAUGUGACUGCAAACGUAUUUGUAAAAUGAUGCACAGGCCUGGAUGAACACAACAGCUACCGAUGUUUUGUCAGGUCCUGAUAUCUACGAGUUGGAAGACGGCAACAUCAAGUUACAGAUUUAAUAAAAUAUAAAUUCAAAUUUUGACAAAUAAAAGCAUCAAACAUAUUA